UAACCUGCCCAAGAGAUCGGGAUAACACCUGGAAACAGAUGCUAAUACCGGAUAANAACAGAUGAUGCCUAUCAACUGUUUAAAAGAUGGUUCUGCUAUCACUCUUGGAUGGACCUGCGGUGCAUUAGCUAGUUGGUAGGGUAACGGCCUACCAAGGCGAUGAUGCAUAGCCGAGUUGAGAGACUGAUCGGCCACAUUGGGACUGAGACACGGCCCAAACUCCUACGGGAGGCAGCAGCU
RNAcentral lists this ribosomal RNA (240 nucleotides) under uncultured Lactobacillus sp. RNAcentral's name for it is "partial 16S ribosomal RNA". It matches the Rfam family "Bacterial small subunit ribosomal RNA", at positions 122 to 355 of the family's 1533-position model. The record is from RNAcentral. Lineage: Bacteria; Bacillati; Bacillota; Bacilli; Lactobacillales; Lactobacillaceae.